RNAcentral lists this small nucleolar RNA (87 nucleotides) under Medicago truncatula (barrel medic). RNAcentral describes it as "Plant small nucleolar RNA SNOR75". It matches the Rfam family "Plant small nucleolar RNA SNOR75". Rfam says of the family: U15 is a member of the C/D class of snoRNA which contain the C (UGAUGA) and D (CUGA) box motifs. Lineage: Eukaryota; Viridiplantae; Streptophyta; Magnoliopsida; Fabales; Fabaceae. The record is from Rfam by way of RNAcentral.
UCUCAGUGAUGAUCAAAACGAUGACGAGUCUGAUGAAAUCCAUUCAAAACAAUUGUGAGGACAAAACGAGGCAUUUGUCUGAGAGAA